RNAcentral lists this ribosomal RNA (253 nucleotides) under uncultured bacterium. RNAcentral's name for it is "partial 16S ribosomal RNA". It matches the Rfam family "Bacterial small subunit ribosomal RNA", at positions 524 to 776 of the family's 1533-position model. The record is from RNAcentral.
AACGUAGGACGCAAGCGUUAUCCGGAGUUACUGGGCGUAAAGCGCGUGCAGGCGGCUCGAAACGUCUGAUGUGAAAUCUCCUCGCUCAACGGGGAGAGGCCAUUGGAAACGGUCGAGCUGGAGGGCAGUAGAGGUAGGCGGAAUUCCGGGUGGAGUGGUGAAAUGCGUAGAGAUCCGGAGGAACACCAGAGGCGAAGGCGGCCUACUGGGCUGCACCUGACGCUGAGCCGCGAAAGCCAGGGGAGCGAACGGG